Molecule: ribosomal RNA, 492 nt
Filed under: uncultured bacterium
Lineage: Bacteria
Description: partial 16S ribosomal RNA
Rfam family: Bacterial small subunit ribosomal RNA
Source: RNAcentral
GAUGAACGCUAGCUACAGGCUUAACACAUGCAAGUCGAGGGGAAACGACAUCGAAAGCUUGCUUUUGAUGGGCGUCGACCGGCGCACGGGUGAGUAACGCGUAUCCAACCUGCCCAUCACCUGGGAAUAACCUUGCGAAAGUAAGACUAAUACCCAAUGACAUCCCACGAAGACAUCUGAAUGGGAUUAAAGAUUUAUCGGUGAUGGAUGGGGAUGCGUCUGAUUAGCUUGUUGGCGGGGUAACGGCCCACCAAGGCAACGAUCAGUAGGGGUUCUGAGAGGAAGGUCCCCCACAUUGGAACUGAGACACGGUCCAAACUCCUACGGGAGGCAGCAGUGAGGAAUAUUGGUCAAUGGGCGAGAGCCUGAACCAGCCAAGUAGCGUGCAGGAUGACGGCCCUAUGGGUUGUAAACUGCUUUUAUAAGGGAAUAAAGUGGGUCUCGUGAGACUUUUUGCAUGUACCUUAUGAAUAAGGACCGGCUAAUUCCGUG